AGCAGUAGCCGCGGUAAUACGUAGGGUGCAAGCGUUAAUCGGAAUUACUGGGCGUAAAGCGUGCGCAGGCGGUUAUAUAAGUCAGAUGUGAAAUCCCCGGGCUCAACCUGGGAACUGCAUUUGAGACUGUAUGGCUAGAGUGUGUCAGAGGGGGGUAGAAUUCCACGUGUAGCGGUGAAAUGCGUAGAUAUGUGGAGGAAUACCGAUGGCGAAGGCAGCCCCCUGGGAUAACACUGACGCUCAUGCACGAAAGCGUGGGGAGCAAACAGGAUUAGAUACCCCAGUAGUCCCUGUCUCUUAUAC
This 303-nucleotide ribosomal RNA is filed under the name uncultured bacterium. RNAcentral describes it as "partial 16S ribosomal RNA". It matches the Rfam family "Bacterial small subunit ribosomal RNA", at positions 507 to 807 of the family's 1533-position model. The record is from RNAcentral.